Molecule: ribosomal RNA, 607 nt
Filed under: uncultured marine eukaryote
Lineage: Eukaryota
Description: SSU rRNA
Rfam family: Eukaryotic small subunit ribosomal RNA
Source: RNAcentral
AGUUAAAAAGCUCGUAAUUGGGUUUCGGAGUGGGCCAGUUGGUCCGCCGCAAGGUGUGUUACUGACUGGUUUGCUCUUCUUCGCAAAGACUGCGUGUGCUCUUGAGUGAGUGUGCGAAGGAUUUACGACGUUUACUUUGAAAAAAUUAGAGUGUUCAAAGCAGGCUAUUGCUUGAAUACAUGAGCAUGGAAUAAUGGAAUAGGACUUUGGUCCCAUUUUGUUGGUUUCUAGGGCCGAAGUAAUGAUUAAGAGGGACAAUUGGGGGCAUCCGUAUUUCGUUGUCAGAGGUGAAAUUCUUGGAUUUACGAAAGACGAACAACUGCGAAAGCACUUGCCAAGAGUGUUUUCAUUAAUCAAGAACGAAAGUUAGAGGAUCGAAGACGAUCAGAUACCGUCCUAGUUCUAACCAUAAACGAUGUCGACUAGGGAUCAGCGGGCGUUAUCGUACGACCCCGUUGGCACCUUACGGGAAACCAAAGUUUUUGGAUUCCGGGGGAAGUAUGGUUGCAAAGCUGAAACUUAAAGGAAUUGACGGAAGGGCACCACCAGGAGUGGAGCCUGUGGCUCAAUUUGACUCAACACGGGAAAACUUACCAGGUUCCAGACA